This 301-nucleotide ribosomal RNA is filed under the name uncultured bacterium. RNAcentral describes it as "partial 16S ribosomal RNA". It matches the Rfam family "Bacterial small subunit ribosomal RNA", at positions 509 to 807 of the family's 1533-position model. The record is from RNAcentral.
CAGUAGCCACGGUAAUACGGAGGGGGCUAGCGUUGUUCGGAAUUACUGGGCGUAAAGCGCACGUAGGCGGCUUGGUAAGUUAGAGGUGAAAGCCCGGGGCUCAACCCCGGAAUUGCCUUUGAAACUGGAAAGCUAGAAUCUUGGAGAGGUCAGUGGAAUUCCGAGUGUAGAGGUGAAAUUCGUAGAUACUCGGAAGAACACCAGUGGCGAAGGCGACUGACUGGACAAGUAUUGACGCUGAGGUGCGAAAGCGUGGGGAGCAAACAGGAUUAGAUACCCGCGUAGUCCCUGUCUCUUAUAC